This 497-nucleotide ribosomal RNA is filed under the name uncultured bacterium. RNAcentral describes it as "partial 16S ribosomal RNA". It matches the Rfam family "Bacterial small subunit ribosomal RNA", at positions 28 to 507 of the family's 1533-position model. The record is from RNAcentral.
GAUGAACGCUGGCGGCGUGCCUAAUACAUGCAAGUCGAGCGAACAGACGAGGAGCUUGCUCCUCUGAUGUUAGCGGCGGACGGGUGAGUAACACGUGGAUAACCUACCUAUAAGACUGGGAUAACUUCGGGAAACCGGAGCUAAUACCGGAUAAUAUAUUGAACCGCAUGGUUCAAUAGUGAAAGACGGUUUUGCUGUCACUUAUAGAUGGAUCCGCGCCGCAUUAGCUAGUUGGUAAGGUAACGGCUUACCAAGGCAACGAUGCGCAGCCGACCUGAGAGGGUGAUCGGCCACACUGGAACUGAGACACGGUCCAGACUCCUACGGGAGGCAGCAGUAGGGAAUCUUCCGCAAUGGGCGAAAGCCUGACGGAGCAACGCCGCGUGAGUGAUGAAGGUCUUCGGAUCGUAAAACUCUGUUAUUAGGGAAGAACAAAUGUGUAAGUAACUAUGCACGUCUUGACGGUACCUAAUCAGAAAGCCACGGCUAACUACGUG